This 448-nucleotide ribosomal RNA is filed under the name uncultured bacterium. RNAcentral's name for it is "partial 16S ribosomal RNA". It matches the Rfam family "Bacterial small subunit ribosomal RNA", at positions 329 to 794 of the family's 1533-position model. The record is from RNAcentral.
UGCCAGACUCCUACGGGAGGCAGCAGUGGGGGAUAUUGCACAAUGGGGGGAACCCUGAUGCAGCGACGCCGCGUGGGUGAAGAAGCGCCUCGGCGCGUAAAGCCCUAUCAGCAGGGAAGAAAAUGACGGUACCUGACUAAGAAGCCCCGGCUAACUACGUGCCAGCAGCCGCGGUAAUACGUAGGGGGCAAGCGUUAUCCGGAUUUACUGGGUGUAAAGGGAGCGUAGACGGCGAUGCAAGUCUGAAGUGAAAGGCGGGGGCCCAACCUCCGGACUGCUUUGGAAACUGUAUGGCUGGAGUGCAGGAGAGGUAAGCGGAAUUCCUAGUGUAGCGGUGAAAUGCGUAGAUAUUAGGAGGAACACCGGUGGCGAAGGCGGCUUACUGGACAGUAACUGACACUGAGGCUCGAAAGCGUGGGGAGCAAACAGGAUUAGAUACCCUGGUAUA